RNA transcript from Andrographis paniculata, 1889 nucleotides. It is a transcript of the gene named protein ZINC INDUCED FACILITATOR 1-like, with no coding region annotated. NCBI's taxonomy places the organism in Eukaryota, Viridiplantae, Streptophyta, Magnoliopsida, Lamiales, Acanthaceae. The transcript is spliced from 18 exons. The record is from RefSeq and is a predicted model, not a curated record.
AAACCAUGGUAUAAACUGUCAAUCACCUUUCUGCGUCGUGUUUAUAUGAAGCUAGGGAGGCAGGUGGCGGGUGCUGUACCAACAUCAAUCAAUUGUUGCAAGAACGAAGGCUCCAAAAACAUCAGAAAAAAUGGCGGAAGGCGGCUGCAGCCAUGACUACGAGGAGGAGGAGGAGACACUGCUGCAGAAAGAUAAGUACGUGGAAGGUUGCCCAGGAUGUAAAGUCGAUAAGCGUACAGACAUCCGGAGAGGAUUGCCGAUCAAGGAAGUUCUCCUAAUAUGGAUUAUUAUCCUUUCCACUGCUCUGACGAUAACCUCUCUCUUCCCAUUCGUUUAUUUCAUGGUAAGGGAUUUCGGCAUUGCUGAAAGAGAAGAAGACAUUAGUUAUUACGCCGGUUUUGUAGGUUCUUCUUACAUGCUUGGAAGAGCUUUGACUUCCGUAGUUUGGGGAACUAUUGCAGAUCGAUAUGGCCGGAGGAUUGUAAUAAUCAUAGGCUGCGCCGCAGUCGUAGUGUUCAAUACUCUGUUCGGACUUAGCGUAAACUUUUGGAUGGCUCUCGCGACUAGGUUUCUCCUCGGAACUUUAACCGGUGUAUUCGGAACUACGAAGGCGUAUGCGUGCGAACUGGUCGGGGAUGAGUACCAUGCAUUAGGAAUAUCUGCGGUUAGUACAGCAUGGGGCACUGGACUCAUCAUUGGACCGGCUUUGGGAGGCUUUCUUGCUCAGCCUGCGGAUAAGUUUCCAGGAAUAUUUGCAUCGGAUUCGAUAUUCGCCAGAUUUCCGUACUUCCUGCCGUGCUUGUUUCCUUCGGUUUUCGCAGCUAUCGUCACUCUUGUUUGUUUCUGGAUUCCGGAAACAUUGCACACGCACCCGAUGACAAAGCAGCUGUCCGAAGCCACAAUGCAAGGAUCCGAGGAGGUCAUAGACCGGCGGGGGAAAGGUUCUCCAAAAGAAAGCCUUUUGAAGAACUGGCCCCUUGUAUCGUCCAUCGCUGUUUAUUGUGUCUUUUCCCUUCAUGAUCUGGCUUACACCGAGAUCUUUUCGUUGUGGGCGGAGAACCCCCGAAGGCUCGGGGGCUUAGGCUAUACAACGGAGGAUGUUGGGACAGUUCUUUCAAUCUCCGGCGUCGGAUUGUUAGUGUUUCAGUCCUCAUUGUAUCCACUCUUCGAGAGGAUCUUUGGCCCCAUAGCACUCUGUCGAUUUUUUGGAAUUAUUACGAUUCCUCUGUUAACAAGCUAUCAUUACAUUGCGAAACUGAAUGGGAUUGCCCUCUCCAUCGUGCUCAACUGCGCCUCCUUGGUGAAGAACAUUCUCUCGGUCUCUGUUCUUACAGGACUGGCCAUUUUGCAAAAUAAUGCUGUGUUUUCAGGAUCAGAGGCAGAGAGGAGCUGCCAAUGGUAUUUCGAUUGCGUUAGUGUCGCUGUUACAGACUCUGGGUCCUGCCGGUGGAGGGGCUUUAGUUUCUUGGGCGACAACUCGACUAGAUGCUAGUUUUCUUCCAGGCGAUCUGAUGAUUUUCUUUGUUCUGAAUGUGAUUGAUGCCACGGGAGUUUUGAUGACAUUUAAGCCAUUCUUAGUCGAACGUCGUCAUAAUUGAAUCCAGCUUGGUGGAAGCCGCUACCAAAGUGUGUACGGGGUAACCUGCAAAUUAAGUCCAACAAGGCAAAUCACACUAGAUGAACUAUGUGUGCCACGUGGACCUGGAGGCGUUGGGGUUUGAUUUUACUUUUGAGUAAUGAAAUAUUGUUUGAGCUUAAGUUUGAAUUAUAAUGUACUCUUUCCAUCCCAAAAUAAUACGUUGGAUGGACACUGGAAUUAAAAAAAAUAUUAGUAUUAUAUUGAUAUUAAUGUACAAAUAUUUUUAAAAUAUCAAAAUAUUUUUAUUUUA